Molecule: ribosomal RNA, 282 nt
Filed under: Ditylum brightwellii
Lineage: Eukaryota; Bacillariophyta; Thalassiosirophyceae; Lithodesmiales; Lithodesmiaceae
Description: partial Bacterial small subunit ribosomal RNA
Rfam family: Bacterial small subunit ribosomal RNA
Source: RNAcentral
GCAAGUCGAGCGGGGAAGGUUGCUUCGGUAACUAACCUAGCGGCGGACGGGUGAGUAAUGCUUAGGAAUCUGCCUAUUAGUGGGGGACAACAUUCCGAAAGGAAUGCUAAUACCGCAUACGCCCUACGGGGGAAAGCAGGGGAUCUUCGGACCUUGCGCUAAUAGAUGAGCCUAAGUCGGAUUAGCUAGUUGGUGGGGUAAAGGCCUACCAAGGCGACGAUCAGUAGCUGGUCUGAGAGGACGAUCAGCCACACUGGGACUGAGACACGGCCCAGACUCCUA